This 253-nucleotide ribosomal RNA is filed under the name uncultured bacterium. RNAcentral describes it as "partial 16S ribosomal RNA". It matches the Rfam family "Bacterial small subunit ribosomal RNA", at positions 524 to 776 of the family's 1533-position model. The record is from RNAcentral.
UACGUAGGGAGCAAGCGUUAUCCGGAUUUAUUGGGUGUAAAGGGUGCGUAGACGGGAUUACAAGUUGGUUGUGAAACCCCUCAGCUCAACUGAGGAACUGCCACCUAAACUAUAAUUCUUGAGUGCAGGAGAGGAAAGUGGAAUUCCUAGUGUAGCGGUGAAAUGCGUAGAUAUUAGGAAGAACACCGGUGGCGAAGGCGACUUUCUGGACUGUAACUGACGUUGAGGCACGAAAGUGUGGGGAGCAAACAGG